CCUACGGGAGGCAGCAGUGGGGAAUAUUGCACAAUGGGCGCAAGCCUGAUGCAGCCAUGCCGCGUGUGUGAAGAAGGCCUUCGGGUUGUGAAGCACUUUCAGCGGGGAGGAAGGCGGUGAGGUUAAUAACCUCAUCGAUUGACGUUACCCGCAGAAGAAGCACCGGCUAACUCCGUGCCAGCAGCCGCGGUAAUACGGAGGGUGCAAGCGUUAAUCGGAAUUACUGGGCGUAAAGCGCACGCAGGCGGUCUGUCAAGUCGGAUGUGAAAUCCCCGGGCUCAACCUGGGAACUGCAUUCGAAACUGGCAGGCUAGAGUCUUGUAGAGGGGGGUAGAAUUCCAGGUGUAGCGGCGAAAUGCGUAGAGAUCUGGAGGAAUACCGGUGGCGAAGGCGGCCCCCUGGACAAAGACUGACGCUCAGGUGCGAAAGCGUGGGGAGCAAACAGGAUUAGAUACCCUUGUAGUC
This 465-nucleotide ribosomal RNA is filed under the name uncultured Klebsiella sp. RNAcentral describes it as "bacterial SSU rRNA". It matches the Rfam family "Bacterial small subunit ribosomal RNA", at positions 338 to 795 of the family's 1533-position model. The record is from RNAcentral. Lineage: Bacteria; Pseudomonadati; Pseudomonadota; Gammaproteobacteria; Enterobacterales; Enterobacteriaceae.